This 253-nucleotide ribosomal RNA is filed under the name uncultured bacterium. Its description in RNAcentral is "partial 16S ribosomal RNA". It matches the Rfam family "Bacterial small subunit ribosomal RNA", at positions 524 to 776 of the family's 1533-position model. The record is from RNAcentral.
UACGAAGGUGGCUAGCGUUGUUCGGAUUUACUGGGCGUAAAGGGAGCGUAGGCGGUUUUUCAAGUCAGGCGUGAAAGCCCGAGGCUUAACCUCGGAAUUGCGCUUGAAACUGAUUGACUGGAGUAUGGGAGAGGAUAGCGGAAUUCCUAGUGUAGAGGUGAAAUUCGUAGAUAUUAGGAAGAACACCGGUGGCGAAGGCGGCUAUCUGGACCAUUACUGACGCUGAAGCUCGAAAGCAUGGGGAUCAAACAGG